GCCCGGAUGGUGUAGUGGUAUCAUACGUCUUUCGGGUGGACGUGGUCCCGGGUUCAAAUCCCGGUUCGGGCC
This is a non-coding RNA of Radiomyces spectabilis, 72 nucleotides long. NCBI's taxonomy places the organism in Eukaryota, Fungi, Mucoromycota, Mucoromycetes, Mucorales, Radiomycetaceae. The record is from the annotation of a RefSeq genome assembly.